This 71-nucleotide transfer RNA is filed under the name Sphaerodactylus townsendi. RNAcentral describes it as "tRNA-Ala". Lineage: Eukaryota; Metazoa; Chordata; Lepidosauria; Squamata; Sphaerodactylidae. The record is from RNAcentral.
GUCCUGUGGCUCAGUGGUACAACAUCUGUCUGGCAUGCAGAAGGUUCUAGGCUCAAUCCAUGGCAUCUCCA